RNAcentral lists this ribosomal RNA (549 nucleotides) under fungal sp. RNAcentral describes it as "eukaryotic LSU rRNA". The stretch from base 180 to 333 matches the Rfam family "5.8S ribosomal RNA". Lineage: Eukaryota; Fungi. The record is from RNAcentral.
GGGUCUUUGCGUAGUCUUCUAGGCCCGAUCUCCAACCCUUUGUAUAGCUACCAUGUUGCUUUGGCGGGCCCGUCUUUAACCGGACCGCCGGGGGUUUUCAACCUCUGGCCAGUGCUCGUCAGUAGCCCACACAACACUCUUUUAACAAUGUUAAAUCUGAAAAUAGUUAAAUAAACUAAAACUUUCAACAACGGAUCUCUUGGUUCUGGCAUCGAUGAAGAACGCAGCGAAAUGCGAUAAGUAAUGCGAAUUGCAGAAUUCAGUGAGUCAUCGAAUCUUUGAACGCACAUUGCGCCCUUUAGUAUUCUGAAGGGCAUGCCUGUUCGAGCGUCAUUAUCACUAAUCAAGCCCGGCUUGCUGUUGGACCUCUUGUCGCUAACAAAGACAGGUCCUAAAGAUAAUGACGGCGUCAGUUGGACCCUAGAUGCAACGAGCUUUAACUAGCACGCAUUUUAGUUGGCCCUUGUGACCCGGUCUUUUUAUAACCAAUUUCUAAGGUUGACCUCGGAUCAGGUAGGAAUACCCGCUGAACUUAAGCAUAUCAAAGCC